This 252-nucleotide ribosomal RNA is filed under the name uncultured bacterium. RNAcentral's name for it is "partial 16S ribosomal RNA". It matches the Rfam family "Bacterial small subunit ribosomal RNA", at positions 524 to 776 of the family's 1533-position model. The record is from RNAcentral.
UACGGAGGGUGCCAGCGUUAUCCGGAAUCACUGGGUUUAAAGGGUACGUAGGCGGUUAUAUAAGUCAGACGUUAAAGGCUGUGGCUAAACCAUGGUACGCGUUUGAAACUGUAUAACUUGAAUAUAUUCGAGGUGCACGGAAUGCGUCAUGUAGCGGUGAAAUGCAUAGAUAUGACGUAGAACACCGAAUGCGAAGGCAGUGCACUAGGGUAUUAUUGACGCUGAUGUACGAAAGCGUGGGUAGCGAACAGG